GGCAGUUUUUGGGUGAUGCACCCAGGAAUUGGGCUCCCUCCAUUCUGGUUCUAGGUGUGUCACCUGAGAACCACA
Molecule: non-coding RNA, 75 nt
Organism: Myotis davidii
Lineage: Eukaryota; Metazoa; Chordata; Mammalia; Chiroptera; Vespertilionidae
Source: Rfam